UCAGUUUCGCUUAGGUACCUUUCGAGCAAUGUCAAUUGCUCGAUCUUGGCUUGUUGGGCAGCUGCAACCUUGGUAUGCUCUGCUUCACGCCUUGCAUUCUCAGCCGCCUGUUCUUCUAUCUUUUUGUGAGCUUGUUGUAAUUGAUCUUGCAGUGUGUUGAAUGCAAGAGUGCUUCCAGGGUACUUCCUUUUGCCGUUGACAAGUGACUGAGAAAGGCUUCCUACAC
RNAcentral lists this long non-coding RNA (226 nucleotides) under Eutrema salsugineum. RNAcentral describes it as "long non-coding RNA (ESAL_LNC001195)". The record is from RNAcentral. Lineage: Eukaryota; Viridiplantae; Streptophyta; Magnoliopsida; Brassicales; Brassicaceae.